RNAcentral lists this non-coding RNA (28 nucleotides) under Rattus norvegicus (Norway rat). The record is from RNAcentral. Lineage: Eukaryota; Metazoa; Chordata; Mammalia; Rodentia; Muridae.
UGGUUUUGGCUGAUUUGGUGAGCCUUUC